Long non-coding RNA from Otolemur garnettii (small-eared galago), 702 nucleotides. RefSeq lists it as uncharacterized. NCBI's taxonomy places the organism in Eukaryota, Metazoa, Chordata, Mammalia, Primates, Galagidae. The record is from RefSeq and is a predicted model, not a curated record. The transcript has 3 exons.
UUUUUCUUUCUUUUUGUCUUUUCUCUGGGAGGCUGGCUUAUCAGGGUCCUUGAAAUGUGGUCCUGGAAGAGCUGGAGUUGAGGAGUUCACAUUACUACUGUCUGCUUAGGGUUCUUUAGGAUGGGGGGUAGUGUUCGUGGGAAGGCUUUAUCAGAAAAAGGCAGAAAAAGAGCAGAGUGCAGUCUGACUAAGAGUCAGCUCAGCUCUUACACACAGGCUUCUUUUAUCCCUUAUCUGUAGAGUUGAAUGUAGAAGGGGGUCCCUAGAGGGAGUCGAAGAAACUAAUUUUUGCAUAGGGCAAAUCUAGGAGUUGCUCCCUCAAUUGGCUACCAGCUGGGGCCAGAAUAAAAGUUAACUGUUCUGUUGUUUCCCAGGAACACCAGCCUUGAAGCAUUCCAGAGGGUGGACACAGUUUGGUUUCUGGCCUGCUUUUUCCCACCAGCUGUCUCCCAGAAUGGCUGUACUCUUGCCAGGGCCAUGGAGAUUUCUUUCCCAGGGCCUGAAUCCAGUCUUAACAGACAUAAGCGAAACAAGAAGAUGAGUUGGUAGGCUCCGUGAUUGGCCUGAUUACUUAAGAAGAAAGGUUCUCUCAUGCAAUAGGCCGUUUAAGAUCAUGCCCAAGGAAGAAGUACACAUGAUUACUUCCAAUUUUAUGGGUCUUGCUCUGUUGCCCAGGCUAGAGUACAGUGUCAUCAUCAUAGC